AACGAACGCUGGCGGCAUGCCUAACACAUGCAAGUCGAACGAGACCUUCGGGUCUAGUGGCGCACGGGUGCGUAACGCGUGGGAAUCUGCCCUUGGGUUCGGAAUAACAGUUAGAAAUGACUGCUAAUACCGGAUAAUGUCUUCGGACCAAAGAUUUAUCGCCCAGGGAUGAGCCCGCGUAGGAUUAGCUAGUUGGUGAGGUAACGGCUCACCAAGGCGACGAUCAGUAGCUGGUCUGAGAGGAUGAUCAGCCACACUGGGACUGAGAUACGGCCCAGACUCCUACGGGAGGCAGCAGUGGGGAAUAUUGGACAAUGGGGGGCGAACCCUCAUCCAGCAAUGCCGCGUGAGUGAUGAAGGC
This 361-nucleotide ribosomal RNA is filed under the name uncultured bacterium. RNAcentral describes it as "bacterial SSU rRNA". It matches the Rfam family "Bacterial small subunit ribosomal RNA", at positions 29 to 415 of the family's 1533-position model. The record is from RNAcentral.